UACGAAGGGAGCUAGCGUUGUUCGGAAUUACUGGGCGUAAAGGGCGCGUAGGCGGUUCAAUAAGUCAGUGGUGAAAUACGGCAGCUCAACUGUCGAGGUGCCAUUGAUACUGUUGGACUUGAGUACAGACGAGGUAGGCGGAAUUGACGGUGUAGCGGUGAAAUGCUUAGAUAUCGUCAAGAACACCGAUAGCGAAGGCAGCUUACUAGGCUGUAACUGACGCUGAGGCACGAAAGUGUGGGGAUCAAACAGG
Molecule: ribosomal RNA, 253 nt
Filed under: uncultured bacterium
Lineage: Bacteria
Description: partial 16S ribosomal RNA
Rfam family: Bacterial small subunit ribosomal RNA
Source: RNAcentral